Molecule: ribosomal RNA, 444 nt
Filed under: uncultured bacterium
Lineage: Bacteria
Description: bacterial SSU rRNA
Rfam family: Bacterial small subunit ribosomal RNA
Source: RNAcentral
AUUGAACGCUGGCGGCAUGGCUAAAACAUGCAAGUCGAACGCGAACGGGGGCAACCCCUAGUAGAGUGGCGAAAGGGCGAGGAAUAGAUUCCUACGUGCCUCAAGGUCGGGGAUACCUCGGAGAAAUCCGAAUCAAUACCCGAUGUGGUCGGAAACGAUCAAAGGCUUGCUGCCUUGAGAGCGGGGAAUCUCCUAUCAGGUAGUUGGUAGGGUAAUGGCCUACCAAGCCGAAGACGGGUAGCGGGUGUGAGAGCACGGCCCGCCGCAUCGAGACUGAGACACUGCUCGGACUCCUACGGGAGGCUGCAGUAACGAAUCUUCCGCAAUGCGCGAAAGCGUGACGGGGCAAUGCCGCGUGUGGGAUGAAGCCCUUCGGGUGUAAACCACUGUCAGGGUGCAGGAACUCAAUGACCAUACCCAAAGGAAGCACCGGCUAACUCUGUG